CAAGCGGUGGAUGAUGUGGAUUAAUUCGAUGCAACGCGAAAAACCUUACCUACCCUUGACAUGUACGGAAGCCUUGAGAGAUCAGGGUGUGCUCGAAAGAGAGCCGUAACACAGGUGCUGCAUGGCUGUCGUCAGCUCGUGUCGUGAGAUGUUGGGUUAAGUCCCGCAACGAGCGCAACCCUUGUCAUUAGUUGCUACGAAAGGGCACUCUAAUGAGACUGCCGGUGACAAACCGGAGGAAGGUGGGGAUGACGUCAAGUCCUCAUGGCCCUUAUGGGUAGGGCUUCACACGUCAUACAAUGGUACAUACAGAGGGCCGCCAACCCGCGAGGGGGAGCUAAUCCCAGAAAGUGUAUCGUAGUCCGGAUCGCAGUCUGCAACUCGACUGCGUGAAGUUGGAAUCGCUAGUAAUCGCGGAUCAGCAUGUCGCGGUGAAUACGUUCCCGGGUCUUGUACACACC
RNAcentral lists this ribosomal RNA (461 nucleotides) under uncultured bacterium. RNAcentral's name for it is "bacterial SSU rRNA". It matches the Rfam family "Bacterial small subunit ribosomal RNA", at positions 926 to 1391 of the family's 1533-position model. The record is from RNAcentral.